Molecule: long non-coding RNA, 1245 nt
Organism: Astatotilapia calliptera (eastern happy)
Lineage: Eukaryota; Metazoa; Chordata; Actinopteri; Cichliformes; Cichlidae
Source: Ensembl
CUCAUUUGUCCUGUCAAGAGAAUGACAGGCCGGUUGACUCUUCCCCAGAUACGACCAUUAGGUAACGCUCUGUCAUCUGACAGCGAGGCAUUCUGCCGCUCCCUAAAAACCCCCUAAUUAUUUCCUUCGCCAGAGACAGGCGGUGGCGGGUAGGUAAUUUUUAACCUUUCACGUGCACCUGGGGAACCCUCCUCCGGGGAGCCAAGGUGCCUGUGUGGCAUUCAGUCAUCAAAACAUGACCUUUUAUGGCCGUUCGGAGAGCAGUUGGCACCGGGUGCCAUGCGUCGGCUAAUGCUAAUGUUGAUGACUAAUUUAUGCAUCAGCCGACCGCAUCUGCAGCAAGUUUAGGGUAGCAACAAUGUGUGAUAGAGCAGUGAGAGGGGAAAGGAGAGGAGAGGAGGGGGCAUAGCUGCAGAGCAAGCAGAGGUGAAAGGCAUUUUGGGGGAAGGGGUGGGGCUUUUGAGACACCGGGUAGCCUGGCACGACAGGGAAUUGAGGGGGCUAAUUAUGUUGCAGGGAAUACAUUCAGCGUGACCAGCGAGCCUUUUUAGAAUUUGUCGAGCGCAAUCUGACUAACGUGGCUGACCUUUACUUUUUUUUUUUUUUUUUGACCAAAUUGCGGAAGACCACAGAGCAUGCAAGAUGUGUGCAUAUUCUAUGACCUAAUUGCCUUUUUUCUUGUAAGGCCAAAAGCUGCCCAGUACCACCACCAUCAAAAAUAAGCAUGGAUGUCACAAUGACCUAUCACUAGUGCACACCUGCAGAACAUUUACAGUAAACCUACCAUGAAGUUACAGUAAAUGUAAAACAUUCACAAUACACGUACAGUAGAUAUAGAUAGUUUACAGCAAUGUACAGCAGAUAUAGAAUGUUUUCAUUAAACUUACAAUAAAUGUACAGUAGCUAUAGAAAAUUUACAGUAAAUAUACCUAAAUGUACAGAAGAUAUUAAAAGUUUGCAGAAGACUUACCGUAAAUGUAUAAUUCUAUUCAAUUUUACAAUUUUAUUUAUACAGCACCAAAUCAAAACAACAGUCGCCUCAAAGGCACUUUAUUUUGUAAGGUAAACCCUACAAUAUUACAUACAGAGGAAAAACCCAACAAUCAUAUGACCUCCUAUGAGCAAGCACUUCUUCUAUAGUCUUAAAAUGUUUCGAAAUACAGGUCACAAAGUGCUUCACUUAAAACACAGUGAAUACACUUUGCUAAACAAGCUUGCAAGCCAGUAUUAGCUUUGGCUACCCAU